RNAcentral lists this ribosomal RNA (753 nucleotides) under soil bacterium is132. Its description in RNAcentral is "bacterial SSU rRNA". It matches the Rfam family "Bacterial small subunit ribosomal RNA", at positions 19 to 769 of the family's 1533-position model. The record is from RNAcentral.
CUGGNUCAGAUUGAACGCUGGCGGCAGCCNAACACAUGCAAGUCGAGCGGUAGAGAGAAGCUUGUUUUUCUUGAGAGCGGCGGACGGGUGAGUAAUGCNUAGGAAUCUGCCUGGUAGUGGGGGAUAACGNUCGGAAACGGACGCUAAUACCGCAUACGUCCUACGGGAGAAAGCAGGGGACCUUCGGGCCUUGCGCUAUCAGAUGAGCCUAGGUCGGAUUAGCUAGUUGGUGAGGUAAUGGCUCACCAAGGCGACGAUCCGUAACUGGUCUGAGAGGAUGAUCAGUCACACUGGAACUGAGACACGGUCCAGACUCCUACGGGAGGCAGCAGUGGGGAAUAUUGGACAAUGGGCGAAAGCCUGAUCCAGCCAUGCCGCGUGUGUGAAGAAGGUCUUCGGAUUGUAAAGCACUUUAAGUUGGGAGGAAGGGCAGUAAAUUAAUACUUUGCUGUUUUGACGUUACCGACAGAAUAAGCACCGGCUAACUCUGUGCCAGCAGCCGCGGUAAUACAGAGGGUGCAAGCGUUAAUCGGAAUUACUGGGCGUAAAGCGCGCGUAGGUGGUUCGUUAAGUUGGAUGUGAAAGCCCCGGGCUCAACCUGGGAACUGCAUUCAAAACUGUCGAGCUAGAGUAUGGUAGAGGGUGGUGGAAUUUCCUGUGUAGCGGUGAAAUGCGUAGAUAUAGGAAGGAACACCAGUGGCGAAGGCGACCACCUGGACUGAUACUGACNCNGAGGUGGGCAAGCGUGGGAGC